Molecule: ribosomal RNA, 251 nt
Filed under: uncultured bacterium
Lineage: Bacteria
Description: partial 16S ribosomal RNA
Rfam family: Bacterial small subunit ribosomal RNA
Source: RNAcentral
GACGGUGGGGGCAAGUGUUCUUCGGAAUGACUGGGCGUAAAGGGCACGUAGGCGGUGAAUCGGGUUGAAAGUGAAAGUCGCCAAAAAGUGGCGGAAUGCUCUCGAAACCAAUUCACUUGAGUGAGACAGAGGAGAGUGGAAUUUCGUGUGUAGGGGUGAAAUCCGUAAAUAUACGAAGGAACGCCAAAAGCGAAGGCAGCUCUCUGGGUCCCUACAGACGCUGGGGUGCGAAAGCAUGGGGAGCGAACAGG